This 460-nucleotide ribosomal RNA is filed under the name uncultured bacterium. RNAcentral's name for it is "partial 16S ribosomal RNA". It matches the Rfam family "Bacterial small subunit ribosomal RNA", at positions 338 to 795 of the family's 1533-position model. The record is from RNAcentral.
CCUACGGGGGGCAGCAGUGAGGAAUAUUGGUCAAUGGGCGUAAGCCUGAACCAGCCAAGUCGCGUGAGGGAUGAAGGUUCUCUGGAUCGUAAACUUCUUCUAUAAGGGAAUCAAGUGUGUGACGUGUCCUAUUUUGUAUGUACCUUAUGAAUAAGGAUCGGCUAACUCCGUGCCAGCAGCCGCGGUAAUACGGAGGGUCCGAGCGUUAUCCGGAUUUAUUGGGUUUAAAGGGUGCGUAGGCGGCAGUUUAAGUCAGCGGUGAAAGUCUGUGGCUCAACCAUAGAAUUGCCGUUGAUACUGGGGGGCUUGAGUAUGUUUGAGGCAGGCGGAAUGCGUGGUGUAGCGGUGAAAUGCUUAGAUAUCACGCAGAACCCCGAUUGCGAAGGCGGCCUGCCGGGCCAUGACUGACGCUGAUGCGCGAAAGCGUGGGGAUCAAACAGGAUUAGAUACCCUGGUAGUC